RNAcentral lists this ribosomal RNA (109 nucleotides) under Microtus ochrogaster (prairie vole). The record is from RNAcentral. Lineage: Eukaryota; Metazoa; Chordata; Mammalia; Rodentia; Cricetidae.
GUCUAUGGCCCCUUCACUCUGAACAUGCCCAAUCUUGUCUGAUCUCAGAAGCUAAGCAGAGUCGGGCAUGGUUAGUACUGAGCCUGGGAGAGAAUAGUCACUAUGAUGU